CGAACAAGGAUGAGCAUGUGCAAUGGGUAGAGGAUAGGGUGAGGGCAUGGCAAGCUUCCAAGUGGAUAAUCUCCCCUCCCCCUCCCCCCGCUAUAUGCAAACAAGGAGAUAACGAAAGUGAAGAGCUGAAAAAGCGCUUAUCCCAAAUACUGUAUUUAUGUACAGUGCAUUGUGUUUGCAAUCAUGACUGGGAAUGAAGCAGUGAUGAGAGAAGUAUUACUGAUCCUUGACUUUUUAAAGAGGCAAGGAAGAAGUACUCCAGGAGACGAGAUACAAAUACAAGAAAGGACUUACUCAUCGAUUUUCUUAAAUGGAAAAGUUUUAAAGGAUGAGGGAAAUGCAGUGCCAAUAAAAAAACAUGGACUACGUGCACAAGCACAUUUGAAGUAUUAGAUUUAUUUUAUGCGAUGCAUGAAAAGAAAGAACCAUUCUUCUAAAAAUCUUAAAUUGCCAAGACCCAACCUCCAUCAGUCGCCCACGUUUAAAAAAAAAAAGAAAAGAAAAGAAAAGAAGAGACAUUUUUAAAGGAAACUUCCCAAAGAAGGGGCCGCUGCACUAAUUCGCCUGUGCGAACAACACCGUGGAUUGAUUACAUUUGCAAAGUUGCUGCCUGAUCCAGCUUCCUUUGAAGGCGACGGCAAAACCACCACAAACUUCAAUGGCAGCUUGAUCGGACGUUUGAGUUGCGCUAGUAUUAGCCCGGCUGGAGCGUCCCUGCCUCCAGUCAUGCUAGUAUGGAUUUACACACGUCUCAUGCUUUUCGAUUUGUGUGUGCAUAGAUACACGGACAUCUCCCUCCCUAGUUCCCGUACAGGAGACCCAUGCUACGUAUGUCGCUAGCUACCUCCAUACAGUUCCCCAUUUUGAAGUAUCCCAUUCUAUUGUGUAACCUAAUCGUAUAUUACUGACAUUACCCAGAGGGCACUAAUCUGAAGUACCAUGAUGACAUCAAUCCGAUGGCCUCUAGGGAAAUACGGCUGGUCCUGUUUGGCAGAUCAGUCCCAGUUUCCUCCCCCCACGCUACCAAUCGCAGUUUGCUAGUUGCUGGCUGGGUUAAUCCGUCCAUGCCUCGAUGCCAAUCAGUCCAGCGAGGAGCAAGAGCAGAGCUAAUAGAUUAAUCCUCCGGUUUCCCAACCCCCCCUCCCGGGAACCCUGCUCUCUCUGAUGCUGCUGCCAGUCAAUGCCGCUAUUCCGGCGAGUAGCAGCUCUAGCGCCCCCAGGCUCGGGUACCGCGAAGGAACAGAGCCGGAGCAGUCUUUCACUCUUGUCUCCGGCGGUAGCUGCUCCAGCCCUACACUCCGCGGCUGAUUUACAUGUUAAUUGUGUCUGGGAAAACUUCUUUAAUUGCCGGAAUUAGGCAGAGCAAACGGAUUGUUUCACAGGCUGAACCAAAUUAAUUCCAGGUUUAGCUCCUUCCCUUAGAGAAACAAACAAUUAAGCUGUCUUGUUUGCUUUAUGGAUAUCGUUGAAAUGUGAGACACGUUGCUUUUCUGGAGAGGGCGGGGUGGGGUUUUCUUUCGCAGGCUGUAUCGCUGUUUUGAAUAUUAAUGUUUAUUAUUUUAUUUUAGAGACGUUCAAGGGGCAGGAUAUUUCUGUUGCUGCUUUUACACACACCAGCCAGUAGUACACUGAUUUAUAAUUGCUUGCUUACCUUUUUCGUAGCCUCUCGCUAAAGAAAGCUGCGCCCUUAGAAUUUUCCAAAUCGGGCUGCAUUACGAUCCAAUUACACAGUUAUCAUUUUAAAACCCUUUCGAUUAUGAGAUGAAACUGUAGUGGAAGCCAAGUGUAAAUCCGCUGGUUGGGGGCUCUAGUACUCUUUUACUAGUGACUAUUUCACAGUAAGGGAAGGAACAGGGGGAAUAAGAGGAAAAGACACUCCUUUCCCCUUUUGCCACUUUCAGGCUGUUCCGGUCUUCUCUGACUGCUGCAGCUAAAACCUAGGGGUUCUAUGGUCAAAAGCCCGCUGCUCAUAGUAUUGACGUUCAGAGUGCUCAAUCCCACUAGGUUUCCAGUUUGAAACAAAGCACUGUUUGGGAUGUGGGAGGGAUGAAAACCACUGUGGAAUCUCUUUACAGUGAGUGUAAUGCAGCUUAGAGAAAUCUCCAUGUGUUACUCAAGGAUCUUAAAUCUGGAUAUGAAACAACCUUUAAUGUCCUGGGAAGGAACUAAACUAUAACCUGAAUUCAUUUGGUGGUUAGAUCAAAACCACCACCUCUUGUUUUGAUCUAACUAGUGUGUGAAUGUUUCCUAACAGUACUUUUACUGUAUAUGUACCCCAUGAAUAGAUUCACAGCACUGCUGUCCUUUCUUUCAACAAUAAUUCUACUGUACUGCAUUGAAUCUUUAGCUCCAUUCUCUUUUAUAUCAAAUUAUUGUUUGGGAAAAUUUAAAAAAAAAGAUACUGGAGCAGAAUAAAAAAAAGUCAGAGACUGGAAAAAUCCAGGUCUGUGUUAAAAACAAACAAACAAACAAACAAACCAAAAACAAAAAAAACCCUCUGCAUGUUUUGAGGUCUUCAGUCUAGUGGUAUGAAUCAAUGCUUUUGAUAGUAAUUUCCAUUUUUGAGUUCUCAACUGCCCCAUAUUGCAAUAACAGCCUCAAGUAAUACAUUUCAGAACCAGAUAAAUUAAAUGAUGGAGUACAGUUUACAGCUAAGGGAUUUACUAUUUGGCCAUAAGAAGCAUGGCAUUAAAAUAAUUACUUCUUUAUGACAACUGUUUUUCUGCCUUUUACUUUUAGAUAAUGAAAGGACUGCUAGAAAUUGGCUUUGCUGUGGCAUUUAUUUUAGGAUAUAAAGUUACACAAAUUCAUUCAAUUUCUAGCUGUUAGAUUACAAGGAAAAAGACUUUUCUGGUAUCAAGCAUAUUUUCUCCCUCCACCCACAACAGUUUAAGUCGAAUAUAUGCUUAGAGUAAUUUUCUAACCAAAGAAAGAGACUUUAUAUAUUUAAUAUAUCUUUUCACUGGAAAUAUAAAGCAAGAUAGCUCAGCACCAAGCAGAAUCAUUUCUGAAGAUGGAUAAAUUUUAACUAAGCAAUGUUACCCUAAAUCUGAAAUUAGAGAAACUGAAGUAGUACAGUACCUAUGAUUUGGGUAUCAAAUACAGUGUCAGGGAUGAAGCCAGAUGAAUGGGACAUGAUUGGUGAGUGCCCUACCCCCAUUUCCCUAAAGAGGCACCAGACUGAUAGUGCUAUUUGUUUAAGUCCAAUUCUACACCAGGGAGCAAAGUCGAACUUAAGUAUGGAACUCCACCUAUGUGAACAGUAUAGGUGGAGUCAGCGUGCCUUCCUUUGACUUAGUGGUGUCCCCACUGUGGAAGGUCAACAGGAGAAACUCUUCCAUCAACUUCCCUUACUCCUCAUGACCCAGUGAAGUACUGAAGUUGAUGGGAGCAUGAUCAGUGGUUGAUUUAGUGUUUCCUUACCUACUCAACCAACCCCUGGGAGAUCAAUCUCUGUAGCAUCAGUCUCCUGGUAAAUGAAGACAAGGCCUAAGUCACCAGAAAUAGAAAAAUUGAAAUAAUAUCUCCCUCCCCCUAUCCCCACCGAUGGAGGCUAUCUAUUCAACAAUAUGCAAUAUUUACAUUCAAUUCUGUAUUACUUGGGCUCCCAAGAUUCCAUUGACUUCCUUAGAAGUUUGAAAGGGAAGUACAACAAGAUCUAGCCUGCACUGUAUACUUCAUGCUCUUCACUAAAACUUCAGAAAUGCUCUCACUCACUCUCCUCUCUUCAGCAUAGAAAAGACUCUCAAAUGGAGGUGGGUGGAGUAUUUUAAACUUAUUCUCAUGAAUGAAGGCCAGAUUUUUAGAUUUCAAAAGGCUUUGCAAGAAAAUGCAGCUGAGAAACCUAUUUCCUUAUUUACUAAACAUUAUUAUUAGUGAAAAGUUAUAUCUAAGCUCUUUUGUAAAACUGCUUCCUAUCCAACCAUUUUCUGUUUCCUUCAUUUCCCUACUUCCAAUCUGCACUAAUGUAUUUCUUUCAAAUCUCACAUUCAAAAAAACUUCCUGCUUCAGCCUCAGAAACUCACCUUUAAUUUCCUCUCCCCUUACUCCAUUCUCAGCUGACUAGAACCAGUCUGCAAAAUUACCUAUUUGCAUCUUCACUGCUUUAAACUUUUUCCCCUUUUGCUUAACUUUGUCUCUAUUUUUGCUCUCUCAAUACCCAACCCAGUGAAGCAUUUUUUCUCCUUUGUUUCUUCUACCUUUGAGAGCAUUGUGCUAUUUUUAAUAGUGUAACAGCAGCCUUCACACUAUUUUGUGGUGGAGUUUGAUCUUCUGAAAACUGACACACAAAUCCUGUUCACCUUAACAAGUAACUUGCUGGGCCUGUGAACAGGAAUAUGAGGAGGAGAGGAAGAUUUGGACCCUUUAGCCUAUUUUAUUGUAGGGUAAAAGUACUGGUUAAAUUCACAACUUAGGUGCCUAAUUGCCACUAAAUAUGCCUAAAUCCCAGCAUUAGACCACUAAGGGUACAUCUAUACAGCAGCAUUAUUUUGGAAAGACUGACAUUAUUCCAAAAU
Molecule: long non-coding RNA, 4517 nt
Organism: Pelodiscus sinensis (Chinese soft-shelled turtle)
Lineage: Eukaryota; Metazoa; Chordata; Testudines; Trionychidae
Source: RefSeq, a predicted model, not a curated record